GAUGAAGAACGUAGCGAAAUGCGAUAAGUAAUGUGAAUUGCAGAAUUCAGUGAAUCAUCGAAUCUUUGAACGCACAUUGCGCCCCCUGGUAUUCCGGGGGGCAUGCCUGUUCGAGCGUCAUUACAACCCUCAAGCCCUGCUUGGUGUUGGGCCCCGCCGCCCCGGCGGGCCCUAAAAUCAGUGGCGGUGCCGUCCGGCUCCGAGCGUAGUAAUUCUUCUCGCUCUGGAGGUCCGGGUGUGUGCUCGCCAGCAACCCCCAAUUUUUUUCAGGUUGACCUCGGAUCAGGUAGGGAUACCCGCUGAACUUAAGCAUAUCAAUAAGCGGAGGA
Molecule: unclassified non-coding RNA, 329 nt
Filed under: soil metagenome
Description: partial contains 5.8S ribosomal RNA, internal transcribed spacer 2, and large subunit ribosomal RNA
Rfam family: 5.8S ribosomal RNA (bases 1-120)
Source: RNAcentral